GUGUCUGCGGAGGCUGACGAGCAGACGACCCCCAGCAGAACUUUGACCCACAACAGGCUGAAAAAGUGAGAGUGAACGUGUUUUUCACAUUUUGGGCGGCUCGGCCGGGAUGUAACACCUCGCUUCCAAGACCCCAGAGGACGCAGAGCGGGGGGCACGCCCCGCCCGAGUUCGUCGGCCUCACUCACUUCUUCUGGUGUGGAUCGGCGGUUGCAGGUAGAACACCCAGUGGACAAAAGGAGACACAUAAAGCAAAGAAAAGGGGAAAGGCUCCCUAAACCACCUUAGCCCCACAAAUUCUUGUGCAUGAAGACCCGAAGAAAAAAAUAGUAUUGGUCCUUUUCAGGUACUACUGACAACUGAGGCAGCAAUCCAGACCAGGGAACAAGGGUGGAUCCACACCAGCAGAAUCAAAGGACCUGUGGAAGAACCUAAGGAAUGGACUAUAACAUCUAAACCGGGUGAUACCAAAUUGACUCUCAAGUGGGGACCAGGUGGUAAUGAACUGGGAGGACCCAAAUGAUCCAAGGAAUGUACAAAGAAUUACACUUAAUUGGGAAAUAAGGUCAAGCGUAUAUCAGUGGUUUCAAGUGCCGCCUGGAUAAGUCCUGAGACACCUCCAAUACCCUCCUUGGGGAGGAAUACUUCCACUUCAAACAGGAAGAUCAGGACUGUUUUGGACAGAGUUCUCGUAUUCUGACCUUAGCCUGUGACUUAUACAAAGAAGAGGAGGAAUUACAACUUCCAUCAGUGCCAUAUCAAAUACCUUGUUUGAUUCAUCCAAAUACCAGACAUGCUAACUGGGUUAAAUGUAAAUGUUUAAAUUGUGGGAAAAAUUGGUAUUGUAGUUCACACAAUCAACACUCUCCUUGCAGGAAGUGUCGAGUGCCAAAUCUAUCUUCUAUCCAGAUAGAACUCAAAACAACUGAAAUAUUAACUUUGUUUUGUGGAUGGGAAUUAUUAGUGCCUGUUGAAUGGAAAAUACAGUUAAGGAGUGUCAAAAACAAUUUGCCUGGAAAUUAGCAAAAAGGAAGUGACAAGGAAAAAGAGGGCAAGACUGGAUUGGCUGCUGUACUCUCCACCGAGAAGAUCAUAUACACCUGCUAUGGGUAGCAACCCCAUAGGUAUGGGAGGUGGGGGCAUAAGCCAUACGGGACCUCUGUUAUUCCUUUUUCUGUCACUCAUCUUUUGUCUUUUCCCUUUCAGGAUACCGGCAAAGUCAUGUCAUACAUGUUACCUAAAGCUGUAUAUGGAAAGACACCAAGGUUCCUUUUUUAUUACACACACCCAUAUCAACAGUCACUAUUAUAACCCAUCCAAAUUAGGCAAUUGUAUACAAAAUGGGAAAAAGUACUGGAUUGCGGAGAAUUUAGGAACAAGCGGUAACAGGUUGGGAAGUAAAUGUCCUAAAGGAGAGAGAUGGGUUUGUUUCACUUUUUCUAGUGGGAGUAAGGUCCAAGAUUUGGUUAAAGAACAACUGGUAAGCAGAAAGGCAAAACUAGUACAGCAAUCAAAAUCUGUGCCAAUUUCACUUCAAGAUUUCUAUACAAAACUUGAACAGCAAUUAGAAAAGGAAAUAGAUAUCUCAAGACUGGGGAAAAAUCUGUUUGUGGAAUUAGGGGAAAGAGUAAGUAAGGAACUUAACCUACUGUUGGGUUUGUGGGGGAGCUUUGAUGUCCAAAGAAUGGCCAUGGAAAGGCAGUAGCUUAGGUUCAGUUGAACUCCUUAAGUAGAACCAGGCAAAUACAAGGGGGGAAAACUGACCUGAAUGGUGGAUUUUAAGCUCAGCAGUGAUAGGAGAGGAAUGUCUCUGGCGCACUGGGAAAAAUUUUCAUAAUGAAGUAGGAAAUACUCCCUGUAAGAGAUAUAAAGUUAGCAAUGGAACUUCUACAUGGUGAAUCCCAGAGGAACCAACUCAGUAUUGGACUUGAGGAGAAAUGAAAAAGAGGAAUUUAAAUAUAAUAAUGAAAUUGGACUUUUUCAAUGUAAUUAUAUAGGCAAAAAUCCUUAUUCUGGGAUCCCAGAAAUAUCCAAAUUUUGUGUGAAUAUAAAUCAACAGAAAAAUUAUUAUUAGAAGGCACCAGGUGGCUUAUUUUGGAUAUGUGGAAAGAAAGCAUACCCAAGACUCCCCUCUAGUUGGAGAGGGAGUUGCACUUUGGGAAUUAUACAACCAGGAUUCUUUCUUCUACCAGGACCAAAUGGAGAUCAAUUAGGAAUACCAAUUUAUGAGGACCUAAAAAGAAAUAAAAGGGACUUGAUUGGGGGAUCCCAAAAAUGGGGAGAUGAGGAGUGGUCCCAAGAAUGCAUACUGGAAACAUAUGGGCCAACCACCUGGGCACCAGAUGGGAAUUGGGGAUAUCAGACCCCAAUUUAUAUGCUGAAUCGUAUUAUAAGACUCCAAGCAGUUGUAGAAAUAAUAACAGAACUGGUUGGGCAAUAGAAUUAAUAUCAAAGCAACAAACCCAAACAAGAGCUGCCAUGUAUCAGAAUAGGUUGGCCUUAGACUAUUUAUUAGCUGAAGAAGGGGGUGUUUGUAGAAAAUUUAAUACAUCAGAUUGUUGUUUCAAAAUAGAUGACAACGGAGAUGCCGUCCUAGAUAUAGUCAAUGAUAUCAGAAAAAUAGCCCAUGUACCGGUGCAAAAGUGGGAAUCAAUGCUAAAAACUAGCUGGUGGCAUAACGUAUUGGGAACAGAAUGGAGGAAGAAACUAGGCUUCUUCCUUUUAUGUGCUACAGCUGGUUUGAUAUUUCUUCCCUGCUUGAUCCCCUGCUUUAUUCGGCUAAUCACCAGUAUAGUCUGGGGCAUGCAAGUGGUAACAAUGCCUAUAGACCCAAAAUUGACUAUGUCUGGGACUGCACAAAAGAUUAUGGUGUUAAAGAAACAAAAUAAUAUGGAAGACCCCUUGGAGGAAGGAAAAAUUAUUUAUGAAAAAAAUAAGCAAAUAAUGGAGGAUGGAAAACAAGAAAUACUGUUCAAGCCAAAUGAUUUGUAAAAAGGGAAGAGGAGAGAUUGUUAUAAAUACAUAUUAUUUUGUUAGCUUUUCACAAAUAUUAGGAUGAAUGUUAUAUGUAUAAUGUUAAAAUAACUUUGCUUUUAUUUCUGCUAUUAACAAAAACUUAGACAUAGUAGUAGGGGUAGCUGAUAUAGUUAUAAGUGAACUGUCUGUUUGGUCAGGAUAACAUCCACUGAACAUGUAAUGAAGACCCUGCUAUUGAUAUGCCAACUAUCAGCAUCUGCCAUCUGAAGAAAGCAUGGACCAAGGCCCAAACUGGAAGUGAUAAGAAGGAGCCAAAACCACAGCCAAAAAACACGCAUGCUCUAAAAAGGUGGACCCAAGGAGGGGCCAUGUAAAAUAGUUCCUGGAAAAUGUAAACUAGUUUAUGCAUAUGCAUAAUGGUAUAUGAAUAUGCAACAGGCUGAUGUAAUGGAAAAGGUAU
Molecule: long non-coding RNA, 3436 nt
Organism: Passer domesticus (house sparrow)
Lineage: Eukaryota; Metazoa; Chordata; Aves; Passeriformes; Passeridae
Exons: 3
Source: RefSeq, a predicted model, not a curated record